RNAcentral lists this ribosomal RNA (283 nucleotides) under uncultured bacterium. Its description in RNAcentral is "partial 16S ribosomal RNA". It matches the Rfam family "Bacterial small subunit ribosomal RNA", at positions 30 to 320 of the family's 1533-position model. The record is from RNAcentral.
CCUGAACGCUGGCGGCGUGGCUAAGACAUGCAAGUCGCACGGUGUAGCAAUACACAGUGGCGAACGGGUGAGUAAUGAAUCGCUAAUGUACCCCGGACUCUGGGAUAGCUACCCGAAAGGGUAGGUAAUACCAGAUGAGACCACGGCAUCGCAUGAUGUUGUGCUCAAAGGUCCGCCGGUCUGGGAGCAGGCGAUUUCGUAUCAGCUAGUUGGUGAGGUAACGGACUCACCAAGGCGACGACGCGUAGCCGGACUGAGAGGUUGGCCGGGCCACAUUGGGACU